UACGUAGGGUGCAAGCGUUAAUCGGAAUUACUGGGCGUAAAGCGUGCGCAGGCGGUUCGCUAAGACCGAUGUGAAAUCCCCGGGCUUAACCUGGGAACUGCAUUGGUGACUGGCGGGCUAGAGUAUGGCAGAGGGGGGUAGAAUUCCACGUGUAGCAGUGAAAUGCGUAGAGAUGUGGAGGAAUACCGAUGGCGAAGGCAGCCCCCUGGGCCAAUACGUGACGCUCAUGCACGAAAGCGUGGGGAGCAAACAGG
This 254-nucleotide ribosomal RNA is filed under the name uncultured bacterium. RNAcentral's name for it is "partial 16S ribosomal RNA". It matches the Rfam family "Bacterial small subunit ribosomal RNA", at positions 524 to 776 of the family's 1533-position model. The record is from RNAcentral.